ACGUGGUACAAAUUGUGCUUAGGAACAGUGUGACAUAUUUUGCCUCGUAUUUUGGGGUUUCGAGGCCGAAACUUGUUACUCUUUGUUACUUGUUGUUCGGGAACAGUUUGUGUUUUGAUUCAGGAGGAAAAAGGAACGGGUAGGUGGCUGUCAACUGGUAAACAUGCGAGUUUACCUCGGCGGUUGCAAAUGCAGUAUCCUAAAGAUUCCAUAGCACGUCGGGACGACCCUGUUACGUAUUUGCAUUGUUUAUCGGUAUUUGAAGCCUGAAACGCAGUGUAUUAUUGUUCCCCUUGAUUCGGUAAUGUUCACGUUAUUGUAUCUCACAUAUAAAUACUUGCAAAAUGCGGGAAUUAAUGCCAGUUCAGUGUUAACCUACCGGAUCAAGACGAUCCAGAAUCAAGAUGGAGAUUUAAGGGCUUUCAACCUGUCUUGGCCGCGUGAGGUUCAAAACCAGAAGAGGAACUGAGACACUGGAGAUACCCCGAUCUUCUUAUGCACAGUUGAUCAGGAAUUGAUGAGAGAAGUGUCGGACUUGGACCCCAGGUGUGUGUUGGUUUCAAAUUGAGUCUUGUUUAUCUUCCCUUUUUGAUUCUAUGGAAGUAAGGUAAGACCUUGAAAUUGUUAAAAAGGAG
This is a long non-coding RNA of Macrobrachium nipponense, 635 nucleotides long. RefSeq lists it as uncharacterized. Lineage: Eukaryota; Metazoa; Arthropoda; Malacostraca; Decapoda; Palaemonidae. The transcript has 3 exons. The record is from RefSeq and is a predicted model, not a curated record.